GUGCUCUCUUCGGCAGCAUAUAUACUAAAAUUGGAACAAUUCAGAGAAGAUUAGCAUGGCCCCUGUGCAAGGAUGACAUGCAAAUUCAUGAAGCAUUUCAUAUUUUU
RNAcentral lists this small nuclear RNA (107 nucleotides) under Castor canadensis (American beaver). Lineage: Eukaryota; Metazoa; Chordata; Mammalia; Rodentia; Castoridae. The record is from RNAcentral.